GUGGAGAGCAGGAUGAGUAGUUCAGGCUUCUCACGAAGGAGCUAUAAGGUCAGCCGAGAGAAAGGAAGAGUAGACCCAAAGCCAGGCGAGCUCGGCUAGAUCAGGGACAGUCUCCAGAGGAUGCACCUUGGCACUCCGAUGAGGCUAUGAUCACAUCUCCAGAAGCUAAUCCUGGGGUUGAGACGGAGUCUCGCUCUGUUGCCCAGGCUGGAGUGCGAUGGCGCAAAUCUCGGCUCACUGCAAGCUCCGCCUCCAGGGUUCACGCCAUUCUCCUGCCUCAGCUGGGACUACAGGCGCCUGCCACCACGCCCAGCUAAUUUUUUGUAUUUUUAGUAGAGACGGGGUUUCACCGUGUUAGCCAGGAUGGUCUCGAUCUCCUGACCUCAUGAUCUGCCUGCCUCGGCCUCCCAAAGUGCUGGGAUUACAGGCGUGAGCCACCGCGCCCAGCCGAUUUUCUGUUUUCUAAUAAAAAAUGUUCCUCUUAAG
RNAcentral lists this long non-coding RNA (486 nucleotides) under Homo sapiens (human). RNAcentral describes it as "HSALNT0407737". The record is from RNAcentral. Lineage: Eukaryota; Metazoa; Chordata; Mammalia; Primates; Hominidae.